AAGUCGUAACAAGGUCUCCGUAGGUGAACCUGCGGAGGGAUCAUUACUGAGCGAGGGCCCCGGGCCCGACCUCCAACCCUUUGUGAACACAUCUCGUUGCUUCGGGGGCGACCCUGCCGUUCCGACGGCGGGCGCCCCCGGAGGCCCUCCCACCCUGCAUCUCCGCGUCGGAGUUCGAGUAAAUUGAACAAAACUUUCAACAACGGAUCUCUUGGUUCUG
RNAcentral lists this unclassified non-coding RNA (220 nucleotides) under air metagenome. Its description in RNAcentral is "partial contains small subunit ribosomal RNA, internal transcribed spacer 1, and 5.8S ribosomal RNA". The stretch from base 1 to 46 matches the Rfam family "Eukaryotic small subunit ribosomal RNA", at positions 1786 to 1831 of the family's 1831-position model. The record is from RNAcentral.